Molecule: RNA transcript, 3260 nt
Organism: Pygocentrus nattereri (red-bellied piranha)
Lineage: Eukaryota; Metazoa; Chordata; Actinopteri; Characiformes; Serrasalmidae
Gene: oatx
Gene name: organic anion transporter X
Exons: 10
Source: RefSeq, a predicted model, not a curated record
CCUGGACAAUGCGCCCUGCUCAGAUUUACACCUCUGAACAUUCUAUACGUUUCUUACUGCACGUUUCGUUAGAUAAGUCUGUUUAUGACCCUAACUGGACGCUCCGGCCACCUGCGGUCUCACUUUUUUUCCUGAAAGAUGUAGCAGAUGUUUCUCUCAUGGGGAACGGAAUGUGACCAGACAUUUGGCAACUAUUAACCCCCAAAUUAAUGAUUGCAGGGGUCUGCUGGUUUAUUUGUAUUUGACUGCUGUUGUGAGAAGGUGGGGAGCUCUGAGAGGGGCUGAUCUUCUUCCACACCACUGAAGCACCGGAGGAAAGGAAUCGCUGUAGAACUGAGCCGCAGGAGAGUCUGAGAUGGGGUUCAGUGAUCUUCUGAAUGAGGUCGGAGGAUUUGGACGGUUCCAGCUCAUCCACGUCACUCUGCUGUCCAUUCCGGGCCUUUUGAUGGCCAGCCAGAACUUGCUUAACAACUUCACUGCAGGCAUUCCUGGACAUUUCUGUAAAAUACCAAACAUCACGUCUCUGGCUGAGGCUCGGAACCUCUCUGAGCUGAGCAGAGCUGAUCUGCUGAGAGCCUUCAUCCCUCUGGAGGACUCGAAACUGUCCAAAUGCAGCAGAUACGCUCAGGCUCAGUGGCACCUCCUCAGUGAAAACUCCAGCCACUAUGAAGCCAGCAGUAAUGAGACUGAGACCUGUCUGGACGGCUGGAGCUACCAGAAAAAUGAGUUUAUCUCCACUAUAGUGUCUGAGUGGGAUUUGGUAUGUAAACUACGGCCACUGAAGCAGAUGAGCCAAACCAUCUACAUGGGCGGAGUGCUGACGGGUGCCAUUAUAUUUGGAGGCCUUUCAGACAGAUUUGGACGGAAGGCUUUGCUGAUCUGGUCAUAUUUCCAGCUGGCCGUGUUGGGCUGCUUCACGGCUCUGUCUCCGUCCUAUCUGGCCUACUGUAUUUUCCGCUUCCUGACUGGCAUGUCCGUUUCCGGGAUCAUCCUAAAUGCCGUCUCGCUCAAGGUUGAAUGGAUCCCCACCAAAGCCCGGACUCUGGUGGGCACCAUCUCCUCCUUCUUCUUCACCUUUGGACAGAUGAUCCUGGCUGGAGUGGCCUACAGUCUAAAGGACUGGCGCAAGCUCCACGUGGCUGUCUGCGCUCCACACUUCAUCUUCUUCAUCUACAGCUGGUGGUAUUCUGAAUCUGCCCGCUGGCUGGUGUUGACCGGUCGGUCAGAUGAAGCGCUGAAGCAGCUUCACCGCGUCGCCAAGAUCAACGGCCGACCGGAGAUGGCGGAGAAAAUCACCCUGGAGGUUCUUCAGGCACACAUGCAGAAAGAAGUUCAGUCCAGUAAGACGAUGUACACGGCGUAUGACCUGCUGCGCACUUCAGUGAUGAGGAAAAUCUCCAUGUGCCUCAUGGUGGUUUGGUUCUCCACCAGUUUUGCAUAUUAUGGUCUGGCGAUGGACCUGCAGAAGUUCGGUGUGAAUAUUUAUCUGAUGCAGAUCAUAUUCGGAGCGGUGGACUUUCCUGCUAAACUGGUGGCUUUGGUCAUGCUCAGCUUCCUCGGCCGGCGACUGACCCAGGCCACCUGUCUCCUCGCAUCAGCGUCCGUCAUAUUCGCCAACAUCUUUGUCCCUAAAGAAAUGCAGAUCGUGAGGACGACACUGGCUGUGCUGGGAAAGGGUUUCACCUCCGCUUCCUUUACCUGUGUUUACCUGUACACCGGAGAGCUCUACCCCACGGUCAUCAGACUGGGAUGGGCUUUGUCUCCACCAUGGCCCGGGUGGGCUCCAUGGCUGCCCCAGCUGUUCUCAUCCUGGAUGAAGUGUUACCUGCUUUACCCAGUAUAGUUUAUGGGGGGUCUGCAGUAGUGGCUGGAAUCACUGCCUUCCUCCUUCCAGAAACACUCAGCGUCCCUUUACCCGACACCAUAGAGGAUGUGGAGGAGAAAUGGGGAAAUAAAUCUCAGCGUUUUAAGAAGCAGGUACAGAAUGAGAUGGUGGCGUUUGAGGCAGAGGAACAGACUCCAGGAGAACACGAAGACGGAAAACCAGCUGCACUCUAAGAGUCUCCAUGAAUCACCUUCAUUUCCUUCACUCAGCACAAACACCAACAACAGCAUAGGCACUACCGUCCAGACGACUGGAGUCACGCGUUAGUCAUGUCUGGUAAUUAGCUGUAACUUGUAGACUCAUUUAAACUGGACACCAACAUUUAUCUUUAGAUGUUUUAUUCUUCACACAGUGCAUCUUUUUUGACUAAGAGUCGUUAUUAAAUGAUAUAUUAUUUAAAUUAUUAAAUUAAAUGAUAUGAAAUCAAAUAAGAAUAUACUAAUAUAAAAAAUGAUUAUAAAUAUAACUAAUUUAUCCACAGUGAUGGUUAGAUACAUCUGCCUGGAUUAAUCCAGGACACAGUGGAACAGACGGCGCUCCAGAAUCAGGAAAUACAUGGAAUUAUGAAACUAAUCUGAAUGCAGAUUUACCAGCUCAACACUUCACUCGCAGUAACUUUACCUGUGUUUAGCGGGAAUGCCAAUGUCUUCAAAAUAAAAGUCCCCUAUAAUUCGACUGCUAUGUCAUUGCACUUGAUUUAAUUAAGCACAAACAUUUAAUAAUAAGUGUUAUUAUUAUUAGUGGUAGUAUGCGGUUUGUGGUGACAGAAUAAUUACUAAUAAAUAUGGAAUAAGAUGUCCUUAAAUGGAUGUAUAUUGUACGUAGUUAUAAUUUGUACUUGAGACAAAAUAUGGGACUAAAUAUUCCUGCAUUUUUUCCCCCUGGAUAUUCUAAAAUAUGAUAAAACACGUUUAUUUGCAUCCAGGCAUGGUUGUAAACAUGGUUGUAAACGGUGAUUGCUAACUUUUGAGGUGAUCUGAUUGUGUGUCACGUUUAAAUUCAUGUUAAUUUCCAGAGUUUUGCUGGUUAAGAUGUUAAAUGUGUUGUAUUUUGUAAAUGUUCUAGGUGUAAAUAACAGAGAAGUGAAAGAAGAAGCACAGCCCUCACUGCAGUAAAGCAUACAAACAGCUCAUUUUACUAGUGUAAUAUCACUUUGUUCAAAGUGAAAGUCCAGGAUCUAAGAAGCUUUAAAGUGUUUGCACUAAAAUAUAAUUAAAAUGUAGUAAUAAAAAAAUACAUGAGUGAAAAUACUUGUGUUAUAAAAUAAAAGCACAUUUUAGCAGGAAUUUACAUGCAGUAGUUAUUCGAACUGGUAAAAUUGAUUUUAAUGUUCAAAGAAAAAAUUUGAAAAAAAUAAUAAAAAUUGUUACAUUUA